RNAcentral lists this long non-coding RNA (8996 nucleotides) under Olea europaea (common olive). Its description in RNAcentral is "long non-coding RNA (OEUR_LNC000365)". The record is from RNAcentral. Lineage: Eukaryota; Viridiplantae; Streptophyta; Magnoliopsida; Lamiales; Oleaceae.
AGAUGCUGCCGGCAACCUAGUCUGCAAACGUCUCCACUCCUGCAAUGGCUGCCUUUGCUAUGAGUAUGACCACAUCAUCCCAUUUUCAAAAGGAGGUGAAUCUGUGGUGGAGAAUUGUCAAAUUCUGCAAACCAGGGCAAAUAGGUUGAAGUCAGACAACAAUGGAAUUGACAUGACUCAACUGAAAGGUUACUCUUGUGACUUGAAGUUCAGUGAUGAUGAACUUGACAUUAUUGAAAUGGCUGUUUAUGGAGAUGUUAUGCGUCCUGGAAAACAAUGUCGUGUUGGAAGUAUUGAUGCAAUGCUUGGAAAAUGCAAGUCCAAAGAUCUUACGAUGACAUGCAAGUUGCCACAGAUUGAAGAGUCCUUGUCAUAAUGAUGGAUUUGAAAUCUUAUAAACUUAAAAAAGAAAGUGAAUAUAGAUUUGGUCGUUCAAAAUCUUAUUUUUUGUACAAUUUGUUCUCUUUUUAAAAUUUUUUGUAUUCGCACUGCUUCUGUGAGCAUUUUAUUUUUGAAAUAAACUUAUUUUGUUUAUCCUGUCCCACAUUUAGGACUGAAAAUAAAAUUUUCCUGCUACCUCUACAACAAAUUGUAUUCAGCAAGAAUUUACACAGGGACUUCAAACAAUUGCAUUUCCAUUGGUUCUUUUAAAAAUCCGAGCGUAGGCUAUUAUCUAUUAUUGUUUUUGAACAUUACAGGUGUAUAUAAAGGCCACGGGAGAAAAGAGUGCAGAAAUGGUAACUGAUGAAGGAGCAAUAUAUAUUACAUCAAACAAUGGAUACAACUGGAAAGCUGCUGUGCAGGAAACCGUUUCAGCUACUUUAAACAGGUAAAUUUCUUCCAAGGUGAUACGCCUAGUAGAUGGUCUAGCCUGGACAUAUAUACAAUUGAGGAACCAUUAUAAGCUCUAUAGUAUUUCAUUCUGCUAUGCAUGUAUCGCUGUUUAAUAUAUACAUAACGUCUUAAGUUUGGGCCUCAUGAAUUAUUUUGCAUUUUCUAGAUAUCUUCUCUAAAAUACUGUUCUCAUGGCAUCAUUAUGUCCUCUCAUGAUUAGUAUCUGGAUCCCAUUUCUAGCUUUAUUUCUGUAAUCUUGUCAUUUUCCUUUUUCUCUCUUUGGGAUGACCUGAGAGGAAAGAGUUAACGAGUUUACAAGCAAGAAAGAGCUAACAGAUUAUGAAGUUUUUUAUCAACUUAUAUCAUCACCGAAAUUCAAUAAUAACUUCUGCAUAACCUAAUGUUGUUGCAGAACAGUUUCUAGUGGUAUUAGUGGCGCGAGCUAUUACACAGGAACUUUUAAUACUGUGAAUCGCUCACCUGAAGGAAAUUAUGUUGCUGUUUCAAGCCGUGGUAACUUCUAUUUGACAUGGGAACCAGGGCAGGUGAGAUUCUAUAACUGAACUAUCCUAUUAUUCUAAGGAGUAUUUACUUUUAUCUUCUCCUUCACUAGAGCAAUAUUUCAAUUUUUGCCAGAUUCGGUAACAAGACCCAGAAGUAUCUUGUUUCUGUUCAUUUUUCCAUUGUCUCUUUGUUUAGGAAUUUUUUUAUAUAUAUAAAAAAUGUCACCACAUUCUAGCUUAAAAUGUUGCUCAUGGUUAUGCAUAUCUUAGGCAUACUGGCAGCCACAUAACAGGGCUGUUGCAAGACGAAUCCAGAACAUGGGCUGGCGAGCUGAUGGUGGUCUCUGGCUUCUUGUACGUGGUGGAGGGCUUUAUCUCAGCAAGGGCACUGGGGUGAGUAAGCUUUAUAUUUUCUUUGUUAAUUUUAUCUCAAUCAUAGUACUGAACAAUGUUGGUCAUUUGUUUUUGUAUUAUGAAAGUUUAACAUUGGGCGUUCAUGAAAUUUUUUUCUGAAUAAUGAAGGUAAAAUUUUUACAAUCUUGAAAUCUACUCUAUUUUUAUAGAUAGGCACCAUAACAUUUUUUUCUUUUUUGGCUAUUUAUGUGGCCCCUUUUACUCUUUGUCAAACAUACUCAAUAAGAUUCGAUGCCCCUCAAUGUUGAGGUUCUCUCAUUAUAUAGAACCAAAAUCAUAGUUAUAUAUGGUAAAAGCAAUCUAUGUAUUUAUGGUAUAAUUAUAAUGAUAAAAUAAUCGUAAUCUUUGAGGAUAUCCAUAAUUUUAUUCGAUCCCCGUAAUCUCUUUCAAUCUCAUUAACUUCCCCCUCAAAUUGAUGUCGGUAAAAGUAUCAAUUUGCAAUAAUGAACCGACGGGGAUGACAAUGCUCUGAGAUCAUGUCAAGAUCUAGAGUUUUAUUUUAAAAGGUUAACCUUAUUAAAUGGAGUAGUUCAAACUCUUAUAAAUUAGUCUAUAUUUUUCUUCUUUAAUCGAUGUGAGAUUUUAAUGUGCUCAUUUUUUUACUCUUUAUUAGAUUGAAUUGCUUGUUAAAACUUAAUGUGCUCUGAUACCAUGUUAAACAUACUGAUUAAUACUCAAUAAGACUCGAUGCCUCUCAAUGUAGAUGUUCUCUCAUUAUAUAUAACCAGAAUCAUAGUUAAAUAUGGUAAAAACAAUAUAUCUAUAUAUGGUAUAAUAAUUAUGAUAAUAUAAUCAUAAUCUUCGACGAUCUCCAUCAUCUUAUUCGAUCCCCGUAAUCUCAUUCAAUCUCAUUAACACUCGUUAACAUCACAUUGAUUAAUUUAGUCAAUGGUAAAAUACCCACCUAUUUCUAAGAAUAUUAUGGGAGAGAGAAAUUUGAGUAUAAGUCGAUGUGUAAUUCAAAGCUCUCACAGAACCAGGCAGGUUUGGGUCAAGAUUAUCUACUGUGAAAAUCAUUUAUUUGCUUGAGAGUUUGGUGAAAAAUUCUAGAGAGAACAAACAAUCUUUGCAUAUGGUCUUUUAUUGAUUUAUUUAAAGCUUAUGAUAUGUUGCCCACGGAAGUAUAUGGCUUGUUCUAGAAUUAGAGGAAUUUCUGUUAGAUAUCAGUGUUAUUAAGGAUAUGCAGGAUGAGGUAAUAAUGAGUCUGACUAGUGUUGAUACCAUUGAAUUUCCUACUAAUGUAGGCUUGCAUUAUGGUUCUAUCUUAGUCUAUGUUUUUCGCUUCAGUCAUGGAUGGGCUUACAGAAGAUUAUCUAUGAUACUGUUCCUCGGCCACUAUAGAUCUUAAGUUAUCCUAAAGAGUGAUUGCUUUAGGUAUUUAGGCUUUUUUAUUUGUAAUGAAGGAUGACUUGAAAAUGACGUAAUGCAUAGGAUUAAAGAGGGUUGGAUGAGAUGGAAGAAGGGUACAAACUUUCUAUGGGAUAGGACGAUAAUACAUAACAGUAAGCUGACAUUCUAUGCUUUAUAGUACUGAGUGUUAGGUUGUUAAAGAACAGACUGAUGGAGUAUGGAUGUGGAAGAAAUUGGGAUGUUAAGAUGGAUGUAUAGCCCUAUUAAAAUGAACGAGGUAAUAAAAGAAAACAUAAAGCAACAAGUGGAGUUAGGACACCAAUUGAGGAUGAAUUGGAUGCCAUAUCAAGUGCUGAGUAUGAAUACACAGAACUUUGUGUAUGAUGGUUAUGAGGUGCAUUCCAGAGAUGUGUUGCAAGCCUAUGAAUUUGAUUGUGAUUACCAGGAAGCUAUCCACAUUUCUAAGCUUGCAAACUUAAUUCAGAUUCAUAUCUACCCCCAGAAAACUCAGAAAAGUCACCCUGUAUAACAACAAAUUUAGCCUAUGUUUGGCUCAUGUUUAUAUAUUGUUUAUAAACACUCAAGCUACUUUUUAUCCACACAUUUGUAGGGACCCACAAGUACUACCCAUUUAUCCAUCACUCAUUUCUAUCUAUUUAUAAUUUAAAUUGUUUAUAAAUACUUCCCAAACAUGCUUUAUGUCUUAUUCUCAGUAAAUUUAGAGUUGGUUAUAUGAUCCGCUUUUUGCUAUUCUGUUUAAACCAUUGCUACAUGAGCAGAAAAUUCAAUGCAGUUAAAUUCUUCAAAUCAGAUUAUGUUAAAGUUUGGUCGACCUCUUCGUUUUCUAACUUGUCCUAAUACAUCACUCUUGUGAAUGCAAAAUAUCUUUAGUUGUACGGCAGCAAUCACCCAAGUCUUCCUUUGGGUAAUUUACUGUCCACUCGUCCAUAUUAACAUCCAAAUUUUCAUUGCAUUCAUUACAGACUUUUAUUUUUUAGGAAAAAAGACUCAGUAUAACAAGUCCGACAUUUGCCUUUUCGCCUCUCUACACUCAUCUAGUUAAUAAAUUCAAACUUAUCGAGCACGAGCACUCAACAUUUCAAAUAAUGAUAUAGAGUAAAUUUUUCGACAUUAGGUUUGUUAUGGAUUCAGUUGGUGUUUUGUGUAUAUUAAUUUUGUUUAUUGAGGAGUAAAAUUAAUUAACUGCCUCCUAGUAAAAUGAAUUAAUGGAGUUGGAACUUUCUAGUUUAUUCCUUUUCUAACAUUGUCACUAUUUGAAAAGGCGUAUCCUGCAAUUUUUUUUUUGUUUUUGUUUUUGUUUUUGUUUUUGUUUUUUGUUUUUUGUUUUUUUUUUUGUUUUUUUGUUUUUUAAAAUUCAAGUACUGCCUCCCUAAUUCAAUUUUUAGGUUACUUAUAAUGCUCUCUGUUAAUAUACUUCUCUUUGCAGAUGUGAUUGUGCUUUCUAAGAUAGCGUUCUCCUUCUUAUUUUGUAAUUUACUUGAUAACUCUGCUUUCUCUGAAUAAAGUGUCAAAUUUUGUUUUGUCAAAUUCCAGAUAACAGAAGAAUUUGAAGAAAUACCGGUGCAAAGUCGUGGUUUUGGCAUUCUUGAUGUUGGGUACCGUUCUCAGGUAUAUAUGAUUUUAAACAAUUAUGAUAUUUUGAAUUUAUAGAGGAAAAGAUGGUGAAAAAAAGAAUCAAUAUUACAUUUUAAGAUGUGAAGGAAGCCAUACGGUGGCCAUUGCUAUUCACACCUUAGAAGAUUUCUAAAUAAGGUUCCUAGACAGAAGGGACUCGUGUACAUAAAAUUCUUCUACUAUUUAAGUUAGAUCUCAAAAUUUAAUAUAAAGUUUAAAACUAAUCUAUUUGUAGAAAGGGAAUUUCUCAAUGAUAAUUGGCAAGCAGAUAAGGUUACAUGUGUCACACCUCCAUAUGAUUUGGCAGUGGCAAUGAGUACCACGACAAACAUGAGUGCUCCUUAAGUGUUCCAAGAAUCAAAAGUGUAGCUUCAGUUUAAGUCGAACUUCGUUUGAUAAAGAAUAGAUCAUUUCAAAAAUUUAUCGUGCUACUAUUUUAAUGUCCAUGUUCAAGAAAAAUAGUAGGAGUGAAACAGAUAAGAGAUCGAAGCAUGUGGUGGCUACACCACUUCUUUGCAUGUUGAAUAUGUUGGCUGCAUGUCCUUACAUUUAUUUUAACUAAAAAUUGAAUAAUUACAUAAAAAGAAGGGCUAAAUUAAGCGGGGACAUAAAUAUUAUUUGCCAGUUUAUGGAGAAUGAGAGCUACCAGGAAGAACAAGAAGUAAAUUUCAAUUCAACUAAAUUAAACCACAAAAAGAAAAAAUCUGACUUUGCUUCUAUAAUUUUUUGCGGAUUAUAUAUUUCUAAAAUCCUUGGAAAAAGUUCAUGUUUACAUUGGCUUAAUACCAUAGAUAAUUGACAUCCUUAAUUUAUAGAAAUUGCAUAAAUAAAAAUUUUAAUUCCAAAUUAAUUAGUUAAAUCCUAUAAUCUAAUAAUUAAUAUUAUCUGUUCAAUAUCUUCAUGUCAUCAAUCACCCCCCUUUUGUGGCAGAAGAAAUCAAUACCUUUCAGAUUGAAUGUUGAUUAUAUAUGAGCCACUUAAUUUGUUCUCUAAAAAAAAUUAUUGCUUCUGCUAUGUUUUUUGAUCAUUAUAUAGUCAGAAAUUUUUAAAUGCUGUGCGACUCAUUAUCUUGCUGAUAUAAUGUUGUAGGAGGAGGCUUGGGCUGCUGGUGGCAGCGGAAUUCUUCUAAAAACCAAGAAUAGUGGGAAGACAUGGAUUCGUGACAAAGCAGCUGAUAACAUUGCUGCCAAUCUGUAUUCUGUAAAGUGAGAUAAUUUUUUCUUCACAAUAAUGAAUUGCUUUACUUAAUUCUAUCAAAAAUAUUUUGAAUAAAUGGCACCUAAGCAUUUCUGCAUCAUCAUCGUCAUUAUCAUUUCCAAAUAUAUACUCACUUUUUGCUUCAUUCUAUAUUUACUUUAGUUUGAAACAUUUGUCUACUGAAAAUUUAUUAUUAAAAUUUUCUGGAAGAUGAUUCAUUCUACUGAAAAUUUAUUAUUAAACGUCUGUCUUGCGCCAUUGAUAAAAAUUUUAAUAUCAAUUUUCUUUUCUCCAGCAUUUCGAUUAGUCUAGAACCUCACAACUCGUUAAUAUAUCUGCUGCAGGUUUAUCAAUGACAAACAAGGGUUUGUGCUAGGGAAUGAUGGUGUCAGACAGAAGGGACUCGUGUACAUAAAAUUCUUCUACUAUUUAAGUUAGAUCUCAAAAUUUAAUAUAAAGUUUAAAACUAAUCUAUUUGUAGAAAGGGAAUUUCUCAAUGAUAAUUGGCAAGCAGAUAAGGUUACAUGUGUCACACCUCCAUAUGAUUUGGCAGUGGCAAUGAGUACCACGACAAACAUGAGUGCUCCUUAAGUGUUCCAAGAAUCAAAAGUGUAGCUUCAGUUUAAGUCGAACUUCGUUUGAUAAAGAAUAGAUCAUUUCAAAAAUUUAUCGUGCUACUAUUUUAAUGUCCAUGUUCAAGAAAAAUAGUAGGAGUGAAACAGAUAAGAGAUCGAAGCAUGUGGUGGCUACACCACUUCUUUGCAUGUUGAAUAUGUUGGCUGCAUGUCCUUACAUUUAUUUUAACUAAAAAUUGAAUAAUUACAUAAAAAGAAGGGCUAAAUUAAGCGGGGACAUAAAUAUUAUUUGCCAGUUUAUGGAGAAUGAGAGCUACCAGGAAGAACAAGAAGUAAAUUUCAAUUCAACUAAAUUAAACCACAAAAAGAAAAAAUCUGACUUUGCUUCUAUAAUUUUUUGCGGAUUAUAUAUUUCUAAAAUCCUUGGAAAAAGUUCAUGUUUACAUUGGCUUUACGAGAGUACUAAAUGGGAAAUACCAUAGAUAAUUGACAUCCUUAAUUUAUAGAAAUUGCAUAAAUAAAAAUUUUAAUUCCAAAUUAAUUAGUUAAAUCCUAUAAUCUAAUAAUUAAUAUUAUCUGUUCAAUAUCUUCAUGUCAUCAAUCACCCCCCUUUUGUGGCAGAAGAAAUCAAUACCUUUCAGAUUGAAUGUUGAUUAUAUAUGAGCCACUUAAUUUGUUCUCUAAAAAAAAUUAUUGCUUCUGCUAUGUUUUUUGAUCAUUAUAUAGUCAGAAAUUUUUAAAUGCUGUGCGACUCAUUAUCUUGCUGAUAUAAUGUUGUAGGAGGAGGCUUGGGCUGCUGGUGGCAGCGGAAUUCUUCUAAAAACCAAGAAUAGUGGGAAGACAUGGAUUCGUGACAAAGCAGCUGAUAACAUUGCUGCCAAUCUGUAUUCUGUAAAGUGAGAUAAUUUUUUCUUCACAAUAAUGAAUUGCUUUACUUAAUUCUAUCAAAAAUAUUUUGAAUAAAUGGCACCUAAGCAUUUCUGCAUCAUCAUCGUCAUUAUCAUUUCCAAAUAUAUACUCACUUUUUGCUUCAUUCUAUAUUUACUUUAGUUUGAAACAUUUGUCUACUGAAAAUUUAUUAUUAAAAUUUUCUGGAAGAUGAUUCAUUCUACUGAAAAUUUAUUAUUAAACGUCUGUCUUGCGCCAUUGAUAAAAAUUUUAAUAUCAAUUUUCUUUUCUCCAGCAUUUCGAUUAGUCUAGAACCUCACAACUCGUUAAUAUAUCUGCUGCAGGUUUAUCAAUGACAAACAAGGGUUUGUGCUAGGGAAUGAUGGUGUCUUACUAAAAUAUCUAGGGUGAAUCAACAGCAUGAUAUGGUAAAAUAGUUUUGAGCCCUAUUAUUUCCUUUCACUUGAAUAUGCAUUUGUUUACCUAAAGUGAGAGAUAUAGAAAUGCACUCUGAAUGUGACUUUUCCAGCAUGGAGGAGUAAGUUUGGCUAAGCUUAAAAAAUUUAUUUAUAGGUAAAUAAGUUUUUAAUAUAAAUAACCUUUAUAGUUGUCAUAGUUGGAAAUAAGUUGCCUAUGUUGCAAGUAAGGUGUGAGUUACUUUCAAAUAAGUUACUUUUUUACGUAAAAAUAAGAAAAAGGUCAGUUAUUAUCCCUGUUCCUUUUUAAGCUUAGCCAAACAUGCAAGCUUUGACUCUUGAAAAAGUCAGCUAAAAAGAUCUGUUUGAGCCACAUUUUUUCAAAAAAAUACAUUUUUAAACAGUAAUUUGAUAUCAUUUCAACUACACAUUUUCCAUUAAUACACUAUUCAAAAAUGCAUUCUUAAUAUGGCUCAAACAAGGGCCUAAUGUGUGUGAUUUAUUGGACUUCUUGUUUCGUAUGCGACUUUAGCAAAAUUGUACCAAUUUUCCGUGUACUAAUAUUUUUGCAGGUUUCCUUAAUGAUGCUUGAGUUUUGUGAUGCUGAACUUGAGUUCUAUAGGUAUAUCAUAUUAUAUAUCAUCUGCUGUGAAAAGCAGAUACUUGAAUGAAAGACACUGUUGUUACAUUGUAAAUGUGAGGGAUACUUCCUCAUUCAAACUUCUUCAAAUCAUCAAUUAUAGAGUGUUGAUAAUGUCAUAGUUCUGCGAGGUUUUUCAGUGUCAGUGUGACAGUAUAAAACUACGUUAAGUGUCGGUAUAUAUUUGUUAAAAAAUGGUUUAUUCAUUUUAAAAAUUAAACUUCUUAGUCUGUUACAGAAUAAUAUUAGUUGUAUAAUUGACGGAUUUAUAGGGACCUAAUUAGCUAAUUACCAUAAUUAGACAGAUUGUAUUAGUAUAUAUACACACGGUUUCUUAUGAAUAAUAUACGGAAAAUAUUCUCCCAAUACCUCUGUUGAAUUACAUGGUAUCAAAGCCUACCUUUGGGAUUUCUGAUUCUUGGGUGAAUUUCGUUGGUCACUGAGUCCGGUGUGUGUGUCGCCUCAGUGUGUGUAGCAUUGGUGUGGGAGAUCGACUGUCGGAUCAUUGGCAUCUCCAUCUGCAUGUGCUACGAUCGAGGGCGAC